CACGUAGGGCGCGAGCGUUGUCCGGAAUUAUUGGGCGUAAAGAGCUCGUAGGCGGCCUGUUGCGUCCGCUGUGAAAGCCCGGGGCUUAACCCCGGGUCUGCAGUGGAUACGGGCAGGCUAGAGGUAGGUAGGGGAGAAUGGAAUUCCCGGUGUAGCGGUGAAAUGCGCAGAUAUCGGGAGGAACACCGGUGGCGAAGGCGGUUCUCUGGGCCUUACCUGACGCUGAGGAGCGAAAGCGUGAGUAGCAAACAGG
RNAcentral lists this ribosomal RNA (253 nucleotides) under uncultured bacterium. RNAcentral describes it as "partial 16S ribosomal RNA". It matches the Rfam family "Bacterial small subunit ribosomal RNA", at positions 524 to 776 of the family's 1533-position model. The record is from RNAcentral.